GAUGAACGCUGGCGGCGUGCCUAAUACAUGCAAGUCGAGCGAACAGACGAGGAGCUUGCUCCUCUGACGUUAGCGGCGGACGGGUGAGUAACACGUGGAUAACCUACCUAUAAGACUGGGAUAACUUCGGGAAACCGGAGCUAAUACCGGAUAAUAUAUUGAACCGCAUGGUUCAAUAGUGAAAGACGGUUUUGCUGUCACUUAUAGAUGGAUCCGCGCCGCAUUAGCUAGUUGGUAAGGUAACGGCUUACCAAGGCAACGAUGCGUAGCCGACCUGAGAGGGGGAUCGGCCACACUGGAACUGAGACACGGUCCAGACUCCGACGGGAGGCAGCAGUAGGGAAUCUUCCGCAAUGGGCGAAAGCCUGACGGAGCAACGCCGCGUGAGUGAUGAAGGUCUGCGGAUCGUAAAACUCUGUUAUUGGGGAAGAACAAAUGUGUAAGUAACUAUGCACGACUUGACGGUACCUAAUCAGAAAGCCACGGCUAACUACGU
This 496-nucleotide ribosomal RNA is filed under the name uncultured bacterium. RNAcentral's name for it is "partial 16S ribosomal RNA". It matches the Rfam family "Bacterial small subunit ribosomal RNA", at positions 28 to 506 of the family's 1533-position model. The record is from RNAcentral.